Molecule: non-coding RNA, 320 nt
Organism: Thiovulum sp. ES
Lineage: Bacteria; Pseudomonadati; Campylobacterota; Epsilonproteobacteria; Campylobacterales; Sulfurimonadaceae
Rfam family: Bacterial RNase P class A
About the family: Ribonuclease P (RNase P) is a ubiquitous endoribonuclease, found in archaea, bacteria and eukarya as well as chloroplasts and mitochondria. Its best characterised activity is the generation of mature 5'-ends of tRNAs by cleaving the 5'-leader elements of precursor-tRNAs.
Source: Rfam
AGAGAGUAGAAGGCAACUGCUUGGAGACAAGAGGAAAGUCUGGGCUAUAGUAGAGCAGGGUUCUAUCUAACGGAUAGCCACCGUGAGGUGAGGGACAGUGUAACAGAGAGUAGUCUGCCGAAAGGCGAUGGUGAAACGGUAGGGUAAGAGCCUACCAGUCCUUUAAGCGAUUUUAGGAGCUGUAUAAACCCAACCCAUAGCAAGAGAAAGUUGGUAUAAGCUCUACAAUCUUAAAAUUUUCUCGCUUGAUCUCUAUUGUAAAAUAGAGGCUAGAUAAAUAGUUGCUUAAAACAGAACCCAGCUUACUCUACUCUCAAUUU